GAUGAACGCUGGCGGCGUGCUUAACACAUGCAAGUCGAACGGUGAAGGCGGAGCUUGCUCUGCUGGAUCAGUGGCGAACGGGUGAGUAACACGUGAGCAAUCUGCCCCUGACUCUGGGAUAAGCGCUGGAAACGGCGUCUAAUACUGGAUACGAGCUGCGAAGGCAUCUUCAGCAGCUGGAAAGAAUUUCGGUCAGGGAUGAGCUCGCGGCCUAUCAGCUUGUUGGUGAGGUAAUGGCUCACCAAGGCGUCGACGGGUAGCCGGCCUGAGAGGGUGACCGGCCACACUGGGACUGAGACACGGCCCAGAAUCCUACGGGAGGCAGCAGUGGGGAAUAUUGCACAAUGGGCGAAAGCCUGAUGCAGCAACGCCGCGUGAGGGAAGACGGCCUUCGGGUUGUAAACCUCUUUUAGCAGGGAAGAAGCGAAAGUGACGGUACCUGCAGAGAAAGCGCCGGCUAACUACGUG
This 468-nucleotide ribosomal RNA is filed under the name uncultured bacterium. RNAcentral describes it as "partial 16S ribosomal RNA". It matches the Rfam family "Bacterial small subunit ribosomal RNA", at positions 28 to 507 of the family's 1533-position model. The record is from RNAcentral.